Molecule: microRNA, 23 nt
Filed under: Parasteatoda tepidariorum (common house spider)
Lineage: Eukaryota; Metazoa; Arthropoda; Arachnida; Araneae; Theridiidae
Description: pte-miR-993a-3p
Gene: pte-miR-993a-3p
Source: miRBase by way of RNAcentral
GAAGCUCGUCUCUACAGGAACGU